Branchiostoma floridae (Florida lancelet) is the source of this 75-nucleotide non-coding RNA. The record is from Rfam. NCBI's taxonomy places the organism in Eukaryota, Metazoa, Chordata, Leptocardii, Amphioxiformes, Branchiostomatidae.
UGGUUGUGUAAUCUCAGCUGGCAACUGUGAGUCUAACUUCACAUCCUCACGGUGCAAGCUGGGAUCGCUCAAACU